AAGCCAGCUAGUGAUUCUGCUUACCUGCAUGUGUUUUUGCAGAAAUUUUAGGAAAAGCUGGCAAUAAUAAUGCCAUGUUACGAGCCUUAAGGACACCGAAGUCAUUAAGGUCCCUGAAAAUGGCUACAAAU
This 131-nucleotide small nucleolar RNA is filed under the name Sciurus vulgaris (Eurasian red squirrel). RNAcentral's name for it is "Small nucleolar RNA SNORA33 (ENSSVLG00005010036.1)". It matches the Rfam family "Small nucleolar RNA SNORA33". From Rfam's summary of the family: ACA33 is a member of the H/ACA class of snoRNA that guide the sites of modification of uridines to pseudouridines. The record is from Rfam by way of RNAcentral. Lineage: Eukaryota; Metazoa; Chordata; Mammalia; Rodentia; Sciuridae.